UAGACAUUUUAGAGAGCCCUACUUGGAGGU
This 30-nucleotide non-coding RNA is filed under the name Mus musculus (house mouse). Lineage: Eukaryota; Metazoa; Chordata; Mammalia; Rodentia; Muridae. The record is from RNAcentral.